This 72-nucleotide transfer RNA is filed under the name Cerataphis brasiliensis yeast-like symbiont. Its description in RNAcentral is "tRNA-Ala (GGC) (tRNA-Ala-GGC-1-1)". It matches the Rfam family "tRNA". Rfam says of the family: Transfer RNA (tRNA) molecules are approximately 80 nucleotides in length. Their secondary structure includes four short double-helical elements and three loops (D, anti-codon, and T loops). Lineage: Eukaryota; Fungi; Ascomycota. The record is from RNAcentral.
GGGCGGAUGGCUUAGUGGUAAAGCGACUCUUUGGCAUAGAGGACGUCCGGAGUUCGAUUCUCCGUUUGUCCA